GGAGUUGUGGCUCAGUAGUAGAGUGCUUGCUUGGCAUGUGAGGCACUGGGUUCAAUCCUCAACACCA
Molecule: transfer RNA, 67 nt
Filed under: Ictidomys tridecemlineatus (thirteen-lined ground squirrel)
Lineage: Eukaryota; Metazoa; Chordata; Mammalia; Rodentia; Sciuridae
Description: Spermophilus tridecemlineatus (thirteen-lined ground squirrel) tRNA
Rfam family: tRNA
About the family: Transfer RNA (tRNA) molecules are approximately 80 nucleotides in length. Their secondary structure includes four short double-helical elements and three loops (D, anti-codon, and T loops). Further hydrogen bonds mediate the characteristic L-shaped molecular structure. tRNAs have two regions of fundamental functional importance: the anti-codon, which is responsible for specific mRNA codon recognition, and the 3' end, to which the tRNAs corresponding amino acid is attached (by aminoacyl-tRNA synthetases). tRNAs cope with the degeneracy of the genetic code in two manners: having more than one tRNA (with a specific anti-codon) for a particular amino acid; and 'wobble' base-pairing, i.e. permitting non-standard base-pairing at the 3rd anti-codon position.
Source: Rfam by way of RNAcentral